CCGUUCAACUCGUUCCUCCAGCGAGGGGAACUACGGGAG
Regulatory RNA element from Mesorhizobium sp. Root554, 39 nucleotides. It matches the Rfam family "THF-II riboswitch (folE RNA)". The record is from Rfam. Lineage: Bacteria; Pseudomonadati; Pseudomonadota; Alphaproteobacteria; Hyphomicrobiales; Phyllobacteriaceae.